UUCCUAGAUAACUUCCCCAGCAGUGAUGUGAUGGUGUUUGUGGCUCGGACCUUCCUGUUGUUCCAGAUGAUCACAGUCUACCCCCUUUUGGGAUACUUGGUGCGGGUCCAGAUGAUGGGCCAGAUAUUUGGCAAUCAUUACCCCAGUUUCUUCCAUGUUCUAGCUUUGAACAUCUUAAUUGUUGGAGCUGGUGUCCUGAUGGCCAAGUUUUAUCCCAAUAUUGGAUCCAUCAUAAGGUAUGUUUAAAUGUGUUGCCCUACCUACUUAUACUAUAUGAUUGCUAAUAAUGAAUGGUCCAGUAUGCAGGAUUUAGUGGCAUCUAGCGGUGUAACGAAAAUAAAAUGAUUAUUGUUUUCUGCUUAUAAUGAGGAUAUCAAAACAAAGAAAAGUCAUGUGUAAUUCUAUUCGAUUAUAUAGGAAAUUCAGGUAUAACUCAGCAGGAUGCGUGAGAGUUAUAGUACUGGGCUCGAAGCAAAUUUUUUCACCACCUUCCCAAAACUCACAAGGAGGUGAGCUAACAUUGUUCCACAGCAGUGAGUGACAAGGCUGUCCGCAUAUGUGUCAGAAGACAUUUUUAUUUAUCGGCCUUGUGAGCGCAGACAUUGACUGAUGCUGAUUAUCUCAAUAUGCCAAAUAAUUGGCCUGAUUAAUUGACCAACCAAAUUGGUUUAUCACUAGUAGUGACUAUACUGUUGCGUGUAGAUAGCCAAGUCUAACAUAACUAAACACAACCUUAAUAGUCAUUUAAAAUACUACUAGCGUUUCACUACAAGGCACAAGGUCAUUUAUUUUGUCAUUAUACAACACAAGGUCGCACAACGGCUGUGUCUCAGAGGCAGGGCAGGUCGUCCACUAAUGGGAAGGUUAUUGGUUCGAUCCCCGGCUCCUCCCGACACGUGUUGAAGUAUCUUUGAGCAAGAAUCGUUCCUGAAUCGCUCUCGAUGCAUCGGUGUGUGAAUGUGUAUGAAUGCUUUAGCUGUGUGUAAUUGGAAUUUCUCCUACGGGGAUUAAUAAAGGUAUAUUAUAUCUUAUCUCAUUUAUAUAAAUAUAUAAAUACAAAGACGUAUACACCCAGGAAAUAAUUGUGCAGUGCAUGUUUUGAUUUGCAUCAGUGGGAAUGUAAACAGCAGCAACAACAUAGUGAUGAUAAUAUGGUUUCAUCUUCACAUCAAAAGAAACAGUGGCCAUCUACUUUGACUGCGUUUGAGCGCCAACCAGCCUCUGAUGCCGAAAUGCAUCAUUUACGGGAUAUUCUAGUUUUUGCUAACUAGGGAUAGACCGAUACUGAUUUUUUAGGGCCGAUGCCGAUACCGAUUUUUUUUUUUUCCACCAGCCUUAGCCGAUACCGAUAUGGACUGCCGAUUUUCUUGAGCCGAUAUUUGGAGCCGAUACUACUUUUGCUCCCUCAAUUUACAUCAUAAAAAUGACACAAUGAUAACAAAUGUUACGAGUCUCAAUUUUAAAAAAAGGAACAUUUAUUGAAAUUAAAAAAGGUGAAAAUAAAUUCUGA
Morone saxatilis (striped sea-bass) is the source of this 1510-nucleotide long non-coding RNA. RefSeq lists it as uncharacterized. Lineage: Eukaryota; Metazoa; Chordata; Actinopteri; Moronidae. The record is from RefSeq and is a predicted model, not a curated record. The transcript is spliced from 2 exons.